CUGAGAGUGAGGUCCAGCAUCAGCCUCAGCUGUUCAGCCCCAGGAUCGCUGUACGCUACCUGCUCAGAUGACAGGAAAAAAACACCAGCUGAUAAAAUGCAAAAUAAUUUGAGGGAUGUGCCUCAGCUGUCUGAGAAACGUUGAAUGGAGCUCCAGCUGUGAUGAGACUCUUCAGUUUAACACAACAGCAAAUAAACACACCAUUCCUCUACCACAAGCUCAUCAGCUCCCACUGGAUGAUUGGGACUGAAAGACCUGCAGGCGGACAAAGUACU
This is a long non-coding RNA of Epinephelus moara (kelp grouper), 275 nucleotides long. RefSeq lists it as uncharacterized. NCBI's taxonomy places the organism in Eukaryota, Metazoa, Chordata, Actinopteri, Perciformes, Serranidae. The transcript is spliced from 3 exons. The record is from RefSeq and is a predicted model, not a curated record.